Molecule: transfer RNA, 73 nt
Filed under: Felis catus (domestic cat)
Lineage: Eukaryota; Metazoa; Chordata; Mammalia; Carnivora; Felidae
Also listed under: 1 other name
Rfam family: tRNA
About the family: Transfer RNA (tRNA) molecules are approximately 80 nucleotides in length. Their secondary structure includes four short double-helical elements and three loops (D, anti-codon, and T loops).
Source: Rfam by way of RNAcentral
ACCUGGCUGGCUUAGUCGGUAGAGCACGUGACUCUUGAUCUUGCAGUGGUGAGUUCAAGCCCCACGUUGGGUG